AACAGGAUUAGAUACCCUGGUAGUCCACGCCGUAAACGAUGAGUGCUAAGUGUUAGGGGGUUUCCGCCCCUUAGUGCUGCAGCUAACGCAUUAAGCACUCCGCCUGGGGAGUACGGCCGCAAGGCUGAAACUCAAAGGAAUUGACGGGGGCCCGCACAAGCGGUGGAGCAUGUGGUUUAAUUCGAAGCAACGCGAAGAACCUUACCAGGUCUUGACAUCCCGCUGACCGCCUUGGAGACAAGGCUUUCCCUUCGGGGACAGCGGUGACAGGUGGUGCAUGGUUGUCGUCAGCUCGUGUCGUGAGAUGUUGGGUUAAGUCCCGCAACGAGCGCAACCCUUGAUCUUAGUUGCCAGCAUUCAGUUGGGCACUCUAAGGUGACUGCCGGUGACAAACCGGAGGAAGGUGGGGAUGACGUCAAAUCAUCAUGCCCCUUAUGACCUGGGCUACACACGUGCUACAAUGGACGGUACAAAGGGCAGCCAACCCGCGAGGGGGAGCCAAUCCCAGAAAACCGUUCUCAGUUCGGAUUGCAGGCUGCAACUCGCCUGCAUGAAGCCGGAAUCGCUAGUAAUCGUGGAUCAGCAUGCCACGGUGAAUACGUUCCCGGGCCUUGUACACACCGCCCGUCACACCACGAGAGUUUGUAACACCCGAAGUCGGUGGGGUAACCCUUACGGGAGCCAGCCGCCGAAGGUGGGACAGAUGAUUGGGGUGAAGUCGUAACAAGGUAACC
Molecule: ribosomal RNA, 734 nt
Filed under: uncultured bacterium
Lineage: Bacteria
Description: bacterial SSU rRNA
Rfam family: Bacterial small subunit ribosomal RNA
Source: RNAcentral